AACGUCCGUCGUGGAAAGGGAAACAACCCAGACCGUCAGCUAAGGUCCCAAAGUGUAUGUUAAGUGGGAAACGAUGUGGGAAGGCUUAGACAGCCAGGAGGUUGGCUUAGAAGCAGCCACCCUUUAAAGAGUGCGUAAUAGCUCACUGGUCAAACGCUUUUGCGCGGAAAAUGUAACGGGGCUCAAGCAGUUCACCGAAGCUUCGGAUUGUUAUUUCGAUAAUAAUGGUAGGAGAGCGUCGUGUAGCAGAUACAAGCAGGGGUGUGAACCUCUGUGCGGGCUACACGAGUGAGAAUGCUGGCAUGAGUAGCGAGAAAUAUGUGAGAACCAUAUUCCCCGAAAGCCUAAGGUUUCCGACGGAAGGUCAGUCCGCGUCGGGUUAGUCGGGCCUAAGGCGAGGCCGAAAGGCGUAGUCGAUGGACAUCCGGUUAAUAUUCCGGAACCAGCUGUGGAGCAAUGUGUGACGUGUUUGGGAAGCUCAGCCUCUUAUUGGAUUGAGGUUGUAAACGGCGUAAUCCGUGAUGCCGGUGCCCUAGAGCCAUAAGUGAGUGGGCCCAGACACCUAGAAAAACCACAACGUAUUAAAGCAGCUGCCCGUACCGCAAACCGACACAGGUAGGCGAGUUGAGGAUACUAAGGGGAACGGGAGAACUCACGUUAAGGAAUUCGGCAAAAUGACCCCGUAACUUCGGGAGAAGGGGUGCCCGCGCAAGCGGGCCGCAGAGAAAUGACACUUCCAACUGUUUACCAAAAACACAGGUUUCUGCAAAGUGGCAACACGAUGUAUAGGAGCUGACGCCUGCCCAGUGCUGGAAGGUUAAAGGGAGGCGUGCAAGCGCUGAACUGAAGCCCCAGUGAACGGCGGCCGUAACUAUAACGGUCCUAAGGUAGCGAAAUUCCUUGUCGGGUAAGUUCCGACCCGCACGAAUGGCGUAACGAUCUGGACACUGUCUCAACGAAGGGCUCGGUGAACGUGCAUUGGCGGUAAAGAUGCCGUCUGUCCGCACCAGGACGAGAAGACCCCGUGGAGCUUUACUACAGCUUGACAUUGAGUCGAGUCUUAAUUUGUGUAGGAUAGCUGGGAGGCUUUGAAGCUGGCACGCCAGUGUCGGUGGAGCCGCCGUUGAAAUACCAGCCUGGUUAAGUUUUGGCUCUAACCUGUGACCGUAAUCCGGCAUGGGAACAGUGUCUGGUGGGUAGUUUGACUGGGGCGGUCGCCUCCGAAAGAGUAACAGAGGCGCCCAAAGGUUGGCUCAGACUGUAUGGAAACCAGUCGUAGAGUGUAAAAGCAGAAGCCAGCUUGACUGCAAGACCUACAAGUCGCGCAGGGACGAAAGUCGGGUUUAGUGAUCCUACGGUUCCGAGUGGAAGGGCCGUGGCUUACCGGAUAAAAGCUACCCCGGGGAUAACAGGCUAGUCAGGUCCAAGAGUUCACAUCGACGACCUGGCUCGGCACCUCGAUGUCGGCUCAUCGCAUCCUGGGGCUGGAUAAGGUCCCAAGGGUUGGGCUGUUCGCCCAUUAAAGCGGCACGCGAGCUGGGUUCAGACCGUCGUGAGACAGGUCGGUCUCUAUCCGCUGUGGGCGUAAGAGAUUUGAGAGAGCCUGCCCCUAGUACGAGAGGACCGGGGUGGACGAACCUCUAGUGUGCCAGUUGUUCCGCCAGGAGCAUAGCUGGGUAGCUACGUUCGGAAGGGAUAACCGCUGAAAGCAUCUAAGCGGGAAGCCUGUCUCAAGAUUAGAUCUCUCUGAGACCGCUAGAAGACUACUAGCUUGA
Molecule: ribosomal RNA, 1775 nt
Filed under: museum specimen metagenome
Description: bacterial LSU rRNA
Rfam family: Bacterial large subunit ribosomal RNA
Source: RNAcentral